Celeribacter indicus is the source of this 51-nucleotide regulatory RNA element. It matches the Rfam family "SAM/SAH riboswitch aptamer". Lineage: Bacteria; Pseudomonadati; Pseudomonadota; Alphaproteobacteria; Rhodobacterales; Roseobacteraceae. The record is from Rfam.
AGGCCCGCACAACGGCUUCCUGGCGUGCGGGAGAAACAAUCCAAUGGAGCA